Molecule: long non-coding RNA, 570 nt
Filed under: Canis lupus familiaris (dog)
Lineage: Eukaryota; Metazoa; Chordata; Mammalia; Carnivora; Canidae
Description: lncRNA (ENSCAFG00845024549.1)
Source: RNAcentral
UUUUAUUUAUUUAUUCAUGAGAGACACAGAGAGAGGCAGAGACACAGGCAGAGGGAGAAGCAGGCUCCCUGCAGGGAGCCCGACGUGGGACUCGAUCCCGGGACCCCAGGGUCACAGCCUGGGCUAAAGGCAGGCACUCAGCUGCUGAGCCCCUGGGGACCCCAGAAAGGAGCCUAUUUUAAGGAUUAGUGGCUAAGAUCGUGAAUUCUGGAACUGGUGUGUCUGAGUUUGAGUCCCAACACUGCCUCUACUGUGCGACCUCGGGCAAGUUAUUUAGCUCCUGUGCCCUGACUCCUCGCUGGGAAAAUAGGGCUCGUGAGCACAUGUAGUGCUCGAGGUUCUGUGGGUGACCGAACGCAACACACGCAGGUAUUUAGGUUGGGUUCAGUGCAGAGUAAGGCCUGUACGAGUAUCAGGGCUCAUUAUGACUUAGGGUUCUUGACUGACUACAUUCUAGAACAUACGGGGAUGCCAGCUGACAUGUUCCUGAGAGAUGCUAUAGCAGCGGCUUUCUAUGGUGCUGUGAAGCAGCUGGGAAGAGACGGAGUGAAAGUCUUUGGAAGGAAAUAA